This 253-nucleotide ribosomal RNA is filed under the name uncultured bacterium. RNAcentral's name for it is "partial 16S ribosomal RNA". It matches the Rfam family "Bacterial small subunit ribosomal RNA", at positions 524 to 776 of the family's 1533-position model. The record is from RNAcentral.
UACAGAGGGUGCGAGCGUUGUCCGGAAUCACUGGGCGUAAAGGGCGCGUAGGUGGCCCGACCAGUCACUGGUGAAAGCUCGACGCUCAACGUCGAGUCGGCCAGUGAUACUGUUGGGCUGGAGCACUGUAGAGGCAGAUGGAAUUCCGGGUGUAGCGGUGGAAUGCGUAGAGAUCCGGAAGAACGCCGGUGGCGAAGGCGGUCUGCUGGGCAGUAGCUGACACUGAGGCGCGACAGCGUGGGGAGCAAACAGG